This 708-nucleotide unclassified non-coding RNA is filed under the name Hevea brasiliensis (rubber tree). The record is from RNAcentral. Lineage: Eukaryota; Viridiplantae; Streptophyta; Magnoliopsida; Malpighiales; Euphorbiaceae.
AAAAAAAGAGAAAUUUCAAAUCGAGUAGCAGCAACCCCCACCCCCUCACGAUUUUCCUUCCCCUCUCCCUUUCCUUUCUCCGGCUAGUCCUUGUCUUCACCUCCGACGAUGGUCCCGACAAGUUGCAGUGGUCUCCGGGAAACGCAGAAGAACUAGGUGCGACGGCCAUGGCUUCUGGGCGACGAGGAACAAGAAGGAAGAAAGAGGGCGCCGCCGAAGCCUUCUCCACAUGUUUCCGUCUGAUCCUGACAUUGGACGGCCAAAAUCCAACCAACAACAAGCUCCUUGCAUGCCCAGCUUCAAGACCCGACCUUCCUUGUUGGAUUCCAUGUUGUUUUCCGGUGAGGGAGAGGAAAGAGAGAGGUGGGUUAGAUAGCAACUUUCUGACUAAUUUUCCGACAAUUCGGCAAUCAGAUCAGCAAUCCGAGAUUACUGUUGAACUCAGCGCCUCGAGACCUUCAAGAUGGAAUUCACUCCGCUCACACCAUUUAAAAAAUAUGAUCAUCAGAACGAACCGUAUGGCUUGAUGAGAUUUUUGAGUUUUUUUAUUUUUAUAAAUUAAAUAUAAUUACACGAUAAUCAUUAAUAAUUUAUGAAUUUUUUUAAGUAUAAUCGGAUCGGUAAUAUCUCAUAAGACUUGGUAUGGGGUACUUAAUCUUGCUAAGUUGAGUUUGGUGUCAGAAUUUGAAAUGAAAGAGUUGUAUAAGG